GUGCCAGCCGCCGCGGUAAUACCGGCAGCCCAAGUGAUGGCCGAUCUUAUUGGGCCUAAAGCGUCCGUAGCUGGCCAUGCAAGUCCAUCGGGAAAUCCGCGCGCUUAACGCGCGGGCGUCCGGUGGAAACUGCAUGGCUUGGGACCGGAAGACCAGAGGGGUACGUCCGGGGUAGGAGUGAAAUCCCGUAAUCCUGGACGGACCACCGGUGGCGAAAGCGCCUCUGGAAGACGGAUCCGACGGUGAGGGACGAAGGCUCGGGUCACGAACCGGAUUAGAAACCCCAGUAGUCC
This 293-nucleotide ribosomal RNA is filed under the name uncultured prokaryote. RNAcentral describes it as "partial 16S ribosomal RNA". It matches the Rfam family "Archaeal small subunit ribosomal RNA", at positions 455 to 747 of the family's 1478-position model. The record is from RNAcentral.